GGUUAGCUCAGAUGGUAGAGCACCAGACCGUGAAUCUGGCUGUCGCGGGUUCGAUUCCCGCCGCCUCCA
This 69-nucleotide transfer RNA is filed under the name Pirellulales bacterium. Its description in RNAcentral is "tRNA-His". The stretch from base 4 to 61 matches the Rfam family "tRNA", at positions 8 to 63 of the family's 71-position model. Rfam says of the family: Transfer RNA (tRNA) molecules are approximately 80 nucleotides in length. Their secondary structure includes four short double-helical elements and three loops (D, anti-codon, and T loops). Further hydrogen bonds mediate the characteristic L-shaped molecular structure. tRNAs have two regions of fundamental functional importance: the anti-codon, which is responsible for specific mRNA codon recognition, and the 3' end, to which the tRNAs corresponding amino acid is attached (by aminoacyl-tRNA synthetases). tRNAs cope with the degeneracy of the genetic code in two manners: having more than one tRNA (with a specific anti-codon) for a particular amino acid; and 'wobble' base-pairing, i.e. permitting non-standard base-pairing at the 3rd anti-codon position. The record is from RNAcentral. Lineage: Bacteria; Pseudomonadati; Planctomycetota; Planctomycetia; Pirellulales.